RNAcentral lists this long non-coding RNA (1289 nucleotides) under Heterocephalus glaber (naked mole-rat). Its description in RNAcentral is "lncRNA (ENSHGLG00100040610.1)". Lineage: Eukaryota; Metazoa; Chordata; Mammalia; Rodentia; Bathyergidae. The record is from RNAcentral.
GUGAGUUCUUCUCUCAACCCAGAAAGGAUUACAAGGCAGAGUCAAAGGGGAUCGAGCAAAAGUAUUUAUUGUAGAGCAAAAGCAGAAAGCAGCAUUUGUUAUAAAGUGAAAGCAAACAGCCCAGGCAAACGAACCCCGGGAGACCCGAAUAGGUUGCCAAAGGGAAAUGGCUAUGUCUCAGGCAAGCCAGAUGACUGUUUGGCCACCAUGAGGACUCGAGAUUGCUGGUGUGAAUUAAAACAACAUGAGACAGGAGGAUAAAAGAAAAAGAACUCCUGAUGGCAGGAAAAUACCCCGUGGUGACUGUGAUCCUGAUGUGUCAGCUGGACUAGAUUAUGGCAGGCCUAGUGGGGUAGUAAAGGACAGUUCUGGACCUGUCUCAGGCGUUUCCAGAGGUGACUGGACACAGGCCAGCCAACUGCGGGAGGGGACGCACCUUGGUCAUGGGACGCACCGAACAAUAAGCUUGUGGCUUGGGACAAUCAAAGGGAAAGAAAGAAGUUGGCACACGUGCUGAUGACUCCAUUCCACUUGAGCGCAUGGCGUUUGCUGCCAUGGGCUUCAGACUCCAUGCAGACUCCGGAGCAACUCUCCAGGAGCUCCCAGGCCUUCAGUCUUGGACUGGCACUGUACACCUGAUCCCUGUUCUGUGGCUUCUUGGACUGAAGAUCUACUGGAUCCUCCAGCUGUCCAGCACACAGAUGGCCUCUGUGGACACUGGAGACGCGCACCUCUGAUCCCAUGAGCCUACCUAAUACAUUCUCUUGCAAAAUCAUAUAUUCCACACACAAAUAUAUAUAUAUAUAUACACACACACACAUACAUACGUACAUAUACACAUAUAUAGACAUACAUAUACACACAUAUAUAUAUAUACCACAUGGAAAUAUGAAAUAUGUUAAUUGAAGAUAAUUAGUCUUGUUUAUUCUUUUUUUUUUUGGUACUGGAGAUCGAACUCGGGACCUUGCGCUUGCGAGGCAGGUGCCAGAACCACUGAGCUAAAUCCCUGGCCCGUGACUUGUUUAUUCUUGCAGUCUCCCUGACAACGUGUGCUGCUUACAGUACCUAAAUUAUAUCUUUAAUUUAAUAAGUAUGCCCACUAAUUAAUUUCAUAGAUAAACUGCUAAGUGUCCAUGCUGUGUAAGUUUUUUUCACUGUGUUAAGAAUUUCUGUAUGCAUUUUCAGUCCUCUUAUUUACCAAAGUAUGGCAUGUCAAACAUAUAUGUUGCAUAGCAGCACUCAUAUUUUUUAUCAAAACUCCACUCACUAUGACUAUUCAAAUAUCUCAU